GUAAGGGGGCGACGGUUCUCUUACAGGGAGUGACUGAAUAAACUUACUGGCAUUUUGCUAGUUAAGGUGAUGAGUCAGAGGUGGUGCUCGCUGUUGGCAACGACAGAAUCGUCUUACCAGACGGGACUCAGGCAGGCAAGUCUUUCUAACUGUAGAAAUGCCCUUGUCUUGUUGGUAUACAGGAAUCCAACCUCCCACCCC
Molecule: non-coding RNA, 201 nt
Filed under: unclassified sequences
Description: manA RNA
Rfam family: manA RNA
About the family: manA RNA has been located in 5'UTR regions of genes of mannose or fructose metabolism. Has been proposed as a cis-regulatory element and as a riboswitch candidate for his complex secondary structure.
Source: RNAcentral